UUCUGAUCUGCAUCAGCCCACCCACAACUGCAAUUCUUACAAGCUUUCCUUGUCCUUCCAACUCCACAAUCACCAACUGCACAGUAAUGAAUUGUUAAAGAUCCAUAAAAGCUUCCAAAGAUCAUAAUUAGAGAGAGAGAGAGAGAGAGAGAGAG
Molecule: long non-coding RNA, 155 nt
Organism: Telopea speciosissima
Lineage: Eukaryota; Viridiplantae; Streptophyta; Magnoliopsida; Proteales; Proteaceae
Exons: 3
Source: RefSeq, a predicted model, not a curated record